RNAcentral lists this ribosomal RNA (254 nucleotides) under uncultured bacterium. RNAcentral's name for it is "partial 16S ribosomal RNA". It matches the Rfam family "Bacterial small subunit ribosomal RNA", at positions 524 to 776 of the family's 1533-position model. The record is from RNAcentral.
UACAGAGGGUGCGAGCGUUGUCCGGAAUCACUGGGCUUAAAGCGCGUGUAGGCGGGUGGGCGCGUCGGCCGCUGAAAUCCCCCGGCUCAACCGGGGAAGGGGCGCCGAGACGGCCGGCCUGGAGGGACGUAGGGGGGGCUGGAACUUCCGGUGGAGCGGUGAAAUGCGUUGAGAUCGGAAGGAACGCCCGUGGCGAAAGCGAGCCCCUGGACGUCUACUGACGCUGAGACGCGAAAGCCAGGGGAGCGAACGGG